CUCCCAAAGUGCUGGGAUUACAGGCGUGAACCAAGGCGCCCGGCCGGAGUAGGAAUUUUAUGGGUUAUAAACUAAGGAUAUGGAGGUCGACUUGAGGAAGAAACCUGGAGUAUAAAAAUUCAGUUUGGAAAAAGACGUUUUGUCUCUUAAACUGAAGCACAUUCCUGCCAUUCAUUCGGACCAUACGAAGAUAAAACUAAAAACUUUUCUCUAAAGCUCCUGGUGAUGGUAGUUGAGUCAAUGAGCCACCAGCAACAACAAAGGACAAAAAGACUGCCAAAAAGUUCUAUGGCACAAGAAGUUUGAGAACUAGUGCUGUGGAUACCAUCUAUACAGCAAAGCACUAUGCUUCUGACGAUAGACCCUGCUUUCCUAAUUGAUCAAGAGAUAAAUAAGUGAUUCCAGCUGGCUAAAUGUGUGUUGCUGGCAAUAUGUGGCCCCAGGGGAGAGGCAAAAGUGGAGGUUCCCGAGUCAUCUGAGAUUUGUUGCCUCGGAACAGGAUCCACAGCUCAAUAAUAGUCACUGUACUGUCAUUGUUUAUUUGAAAUCUAAAGGUGUAAUGCAAGAAUAUGCAAGACCACAGGGACUGGAGACACAAAGAGCAUCUGAAGAGAGCUUGAAUGACUCCCAACAGUUCCAGUCUCAAAGUUACCAUGUGCAGCACAGUCAGGGCAGCAUGUGAGAAGAACAACAAGAAAGCUGGGGUCUGCCAGAGAAGACGGAAGCCCUCACAUUAAACUGAGUCAGCUGGCAUCUUGAUCUUGGACUUUCAAAUCUCCAGAACU
RNAcentral lists this long non-coding RNA (785 nucleotides) under Homo sapiens (human). RNAcentral's name for it is "HSALNT0347838". Lineage: Eukaryota; Metazoa; Chordata; Mammalia; Primates; Hominidae. The record is from RNAcentral.